Molecule: ribosomal RNA, 491 nt
Filed under: uncultured bacterium
Lineage: Bacteria
Description: partial 16S ribosomal RNA
Rfam family: Bacterial small subunit ribosomal RNA
Source: RNAcentral
GUGAACGCUGGCGGUAGGCCUAACACAUGCAAGUCGAACGGCAGCACAGUAAGAGCUUGCUCUUACGGGUGGCGAGUGGCGGACGGGUGAGGAAUACAUCGGAAUCUACUUUUUCGUGGGGGAUAACGUAGGGAAACUUACGCUAAUACCGCAUACGACCUACGGGUGAAAGCAGGGGAUCUUCGGACCUUGCGCGAUUGAAUGAGCCGAUGUCGGAUUAGCUAGUUGGCGGGGUAAAGGCCCACCAAGGCGACGAUCCGUAGCUGGUCUGAGAGGAUGAUCAGCCAAACUGGAACUGAGACACGGUACAGACUCCUACGGGAGGCAGCAGUGGGGAAUAUUGGACAAUGGGCGCAAGCCUGAUCCAGCCAUACCGCGUGGGUGAAGAAGGCCUUCGGGUUGUAAAGCCCUUUUGUUGGGAAAGAAAAGCAGCAGGUUAAUACCCCGCUGUUCUGACGGUACCCAAAGAAUAAGCACCGGCUAACUUCGUG